UGGAAAAACCCCAAUAGAAAGGUCACUCUUAACUGAAAGCGAAAGCAUAGAAGCAAGUUCAGAGUGCAAAGCAGAGAGUGGGGACACCAGCCAGUAUGCUCCAAGCUGCAGGGACAUCUGAUAACUCUCCAAGAUGCAGAGACGUCUGAUCUUUAAGAAAGUUAUGAAGCCGUGUGGCAUUUCUCAUGACAGAAACUAUUUGAUAAUCUGUGGAGAAAAUAAGUAAGCACCAUGCGAUCACUUGGAAGAAGAAAGCAUCCACUGAGGCAAGGAGGUCUUCGGUCCUUUUAUGGGAAAACUUUAUGGGAGAACUUCUAUUGUUAAAGGAAGCGUUUUGCAAGAAGCUUCCUUCUCUGUGGAACUUAGUGGUGGGAGCUGAGCAUUGUUGUUAACAACAAUUAAAAUAUUUUCUCAGCCAUUUGCCAUUUUAUAUUCUGGGGGAUGUGGAAGCCCUGGGGAGAUGAUUUGUGCCUACUUGAAAGACAAUUUGUCAUCUUAGAAGGUGUUUUGGUGACAAGAGGUACUUUUGGGGGGUUCUUUUGUGACAUGGAUAGAUUAUGGAAGAUUUUUAGUUGGAGUAAUUUUGAUUCACAAUGUUCAGCUGGCAUUUAUGCCCUCAGUGUCCUUGUGGCCAGAAGUCGGGAUUCCGACUUAAAUUGGCAGGGCUCUGACGACAUGGUACUCUUGCACAGGGCGGAGUUUAUUUGGAGAACUGGCUGUCAUGGUUAGAGCGUCUGAGAGAUCCCACGGUAAACUGGGAAGGUGGAUCUGCCGUCAGUCUAAGUUUGAAGACUUCAGGACCAAGAAACCUCUCAGUCUGAGGCUGAAGGCUCAGAAACCCAAAUGGUUGUGAGUGCAGGUCUCAGAGUCCAAAGUCUGGAGACCCUGCAGGGUUGAUGCCCCAGACCAAAAGGAUACUCUGGUUUCUUGAGAAAUAAAUAAUAGUAAGUGAAUUUGCUUUUCUUUGUUCCUGUUUUCUAUCCGCAGCUCAGCGGAUUGGAUCGUGCCCAGCUACAGAGGGCGACAGUGGAGCUUCUGUGGUAUCCUGAUUUCAUGGCGCCGUUGUUCUAGGAACGUCUUCCCAGGCACACGUAGAAUGAUGUUGUGCUGAUCCGAGAAGUUGGAAUAAUCUCUCCAAGGUGCUGACCCACAGGAACAGGAUAGGAAUCAUAUAAGCAAUUGAAACUUUUCUAGAACCGUCUUCAACGUGUAUAAGGAAAACAGUGUAACUAAUUGAAAUAGUACAUUUUGUUUAAGAUAUCAGAUUCCAAAAAGUAUUAUUUCAACAGAUAAUCAAUAAAAUGUAUUUAUUUUAUAUCCCA
This is a non-coding RNA of Rattus norvegicus (Norway rat), 1322 nucleotides long. The record is from RefSeq and is a predicted model, not a curated record. NCBI's taxonomy places the organism in Eukaryota, Metazoa, Chordata, Mammalia, Rodentia, Muridae.